This is a non-coding RNA of Caenorhabditis elegans, 149 nucleotides long. The record is from Ensembl. Lineage: Eukaryota; Metazoa; Nematoda; Chromadorea; Rhabditida; Rhabditidae.
GAUGAUGUCUCUUUCUCCUCAAUUGACUACCGAAGGGGAGAAAGUGACAAAAAUGCAUAAUAGUGUACGGUAAAAGUGAAAAAAAAUGGAGAAGCAAGCAAAAGUGGUAGAGAUGAUGUAAAUGACAUCUCCGCAAAUUUGAGUAGACA